GGUUAAGCGACUAAGCGUACACGGUGGAUGCCCUGGCAGUCAGAGGCGAUGAAGGACGUGCUAAUCUGCGAUAAGCGUCGGUAAGGUGAUAUGAACCGUUAUAACCGGCGAUUUCCGAAUGGGGAAACCCAGUGUGUUUCGACACACUAUCAUUAACUGAAUCCAUAGGUUAAUGAGGCGAACCGGGGGAACUGAAACAUCUAAGUACCCCGAGGAAAAGAAAUCAACCGAGAUUCCCCCAGUAGCGGCGAGCGAACGGGGAGGAGCCCAGAGCCUGAAUCAGUGUGUGUGUUAGUGGAAGCGUCUGGAAAGGCGCGCGAUACAGGGUGACAGCCCCGUACACAAAAAUGCACAUACUGUGAGCUCGAUGAGUAGGGCGGGACACGUGGUAUCCUGUCUGAAUAUGGGGGGACCAUCCUCCAAGGCUAAAUACUCCUGACUGACCGAUAGUGAACCAGUACCGUGAGGGAAAGGCGAAAAGAACCCCGGCGAGGGGAGUGAAAAAGAACCUGAAACCGUGUACGU
RNAcentral lists this ribosomal RNA (525 nucleotides) under Escherichia coli. RNAcentral's name for it is "partial 23S ribosomal RNA". It matches the Rfam family "Bacterial large subunit ribosomal RNA", at positions 1 to 565 of the family's 2925-position model. The record is from RNAcentral. RNAcentral also lists the same sequence under 2 other names. Lineage: Bacteria; Pseudomonadati; Pseudomonadota; Gammaproteobacteria; Enterobacterales; Enterobacteriaceae.